UCAGAGCGAACGUUAGCGGCAGGCCUAACACAUGCAAGUCGAGCGAGAAAAGGGCUUCGGCCCCCAGUAAAGCGGCGGACGGGUGCGUAACACGUGGGUAAUGUGCCCUUCAGCGGGGGACAACAGUCCGAAAGGACUGCUAAUACCGCAUACGUCGGUCGGGGCUGCGGCCCUGGCCGGGAAAGGUGGCCUCUCCAUGGAAGCUACCACUGAAGGAGCAGCCCGCGGCCCAUCAGCUAGUUGGCGGGGUAAUGGCCCACCAAGGCAAAGACGGGUAGCUGGUCUGAGAGGAUGAUCAGCCACACUGGAACUGAGACACGGUCCAGACUCCUACGGGAGGCAGCAGUGGGGAAUAUUGGGCAAUGGGCGCAAGCCUGACCCAGCCAUGCCGCGUGAGUGAUGAAGGCCUUCGGGUCGUAAAGCUCUGUGGGGAGGGACGAACCAGCCGGGCGUGAACAAUGCUCGGCCCUGACGGUACCUCCUUAGCAAGCACCGGCUAACUCCGUGCCAGCAGCCGCGGUAA
Molecule: ribosomal RNA, 523 nt
Filed under: uncultured delta proteobacterium
Lineage: Bacteria; Deltaproteobacteria
Description: bacterial SSU rRNA
Rfam family: Bacterial small subunit ribosomal RNA
Source: RNAcentral